GUGCUCACUUGGGCCGCACAUAUAUGGAAAUUAGAACGAUACAGAGAAAAUGAGUAUGGCCCCUGCACAAGGAUGACACACCAAUUCAUGAUGAAUCAGCCUUGCAGCUUUUU
Small nuclear RNA from Lynx canadensis (Canada lynx), 113 nucleotides. The record is from Ensembl. Lineage: Eukaryota; Metazoa; Chordata; Mammalia; Carnivora; Felidae.